UACGUAGGGGGCGAGCGUUGUCCGGAAUUACUGGGCGUAAAGAGCUCGUAGGUGGUUUGUCGCGUUGUCCGUGAAAACUCACAACUCAAUUGUGGGCGUGCGGGCGAUACGGGCAGACUGGAGUACUGCAGGGGAGACUGGAAUUCCUGGUGUAGCGGUGGAAUGCGCAGAUAUCAGGAGGAACACCGGUGGCGAAGGCGGGUCUCUGGGCAGUAACUGACGCUGAGGAGCGAAAGCGUGGGGAGCGAACAGG
This 253-nucleotide ribosomal RNA is filed under the name uncultured bacterium. RNAcentral describes it as "partial 16S ribosomal RNA". It matches the Rfam family "Bacterial small subunit ribosomal RNA", at positions 524 to 776 of the family's 1533-position model. The record is from RNAcentral.